GACGAACGCUGGCGGCAUGCCUAACACAUGCAAGUCGAACGAAACCGUCGGGCCUAGUGGCGCACGGGUGCGUAACGCGGGGGAACCUGCCCUUAGGUUCGGAAUAACUCCCCGAAAGGGGUGCUAAUACCGGAUAAUGUCUUCGGACCAAGGAGGUAUCGCCUUUGAUGGGCGCGCGUUGGAUUAGCUAGUUGGUAGGGGAAAAGCCUACCAAGGCGCCGAUGCAUAGCUGGGCUGGGAGGAGGAUCAGCCACAAUGGGACUGAGGCACGGACCGGAAUGCUACGGGAGGGAGCAGUGGGGAAUAUUGGACGAGGGGGGAAGGCCUGAUCAAGCCAUGCGGCGUGAGAGAUGAAGGCGUUAGGGUUGUAAAGCUGUUUGAGCCGGGAUGAUAAUGACAGUACCGGGAGAAUAAGCUCCGGCUAACUCCGUG
Molecule: ribosomal RNA, 432 nt
Filed under: uncultured bacterium
Lineage: Bacteria
Description: partial 16S ribosomal RNA
Rfam family: Bacterial small subunit ribosomal RNA
Source: RNAcentral